CAGCCCACUGCUAAAGUGUCAUUAGUUGCUUUCGGUCCUCCCCACCUUCAGGCUGUGUGGAUCGUACUCCUGGUAAGCUCUAUUGGGAUCCUCAGAGCUCUCCUGAGUUUCCAGCCCAGUUUGCUUAGCUGCUCACAGAAGCCUGGACCAUGACUACCUUUCAUGCUUCAAAGAACACCAACGUGGUUCAAAGCAUACAGGCAUGUGGUUACUUUUCCAAGUCAAGAAGACCUCUGUGCAGCUUGCUGCGUUCCUCAGAGACAUGCUAGUUAUCCAAUGCUGCAUUUUGCUGACAAGUUGCAACCCAACUCCAGAACUAACAGGCUGCCAUAUAAGCUAGACCUGAGCAGAGCUGCAGUAUGUGGCCACCAAAUCAUCUUUCAGCAGGGGAGGAAAAAAGCAAGUACUUCUGGUGUGGCUGCAUGUUUGUGUCUUCUUUCCUUGUGCUGAAGCUGUUGCACCCUUAGCCCAGGAACAGCUGCAGUGAAGGCCUCUCCGGGAAGGCUGGAUGUUCCUCAAGAAGGAAGUCUUAAGGCACAUGAGAGCAGGCUGUCCCUGAGUGCUUUAAGAUGAGUGAGCAGGGAAGAAGACCAAGGUGGAUGAACAGGGAACUUUAGCUGAGACUCCAGGAGAAAAAGAGAGCCUACCGCCUCUGAAAGAAAGGAUGGGCAACUCUGAGAGACUACAAGGAAGUUGCGAGGAUAUUAUCAGUAAGAGAAGGGCUAAGAAGAAUCUCCAUCCUUUACUGUAGGUGGUGGGGAACAUGACCACUGAGGAUAAGGAAAAGGCUGAGGUUCUCAGUGUCUUCUUUACAUCUGUUUUUAAUAUCAGACCAGUUGUCCUCAGUAUACUCUAUUGCAUGACCUGGAAAUCUGGGGUGGGGAGCAGAAUUCCCCAUGACUCACGUAGAGACAGUUAGAGACCUCCUACUCCAUCUAUACUGUCACAAGUCCAUGGGGACAGAUGGGAUUCACCUGAGGGUGCUGAGGAAGCUGGCAGAGGUGACUGCCAAGUUGCUUUCCACCAUCUAUCAAUAUUCCAAAUCAACUGGAGAGGUCCCAAAUGAUUGAAGGCUUGCCAGUGUGACUCCCAUCUAAAGUAGGGUCUUAAUGAGGACCUGGGGAACUACAGGCCUGUCAGCCUUACCUCAGUGCCAUGGUGAUGGAUGAAGCAGGAGCUGCAGGUUGGGCAAGAGGAUGGUGAAAUCUCUACAGCAUGAUGGGGAGGGAGUGUGUACGAAUCUUCACAUCCUUCACGUUGACUGAAGAGGUCAAAUACACCUGGUUUCUCCUACAGGGACAUUAGCUUAUUCUCCUGCAUUUACCUCUUUGCACGUUGUUGAGAACAGUGUAUGAAUGGGGUGGAUGAUCCCGGCUCCGUGUGAGGAGAGCCAUCUUCAGCAGUUUUGCCUCCUGCCAAACAAGGAUGUGUUUUUAAUCUGUCCUUUUGGUGCCCGGAGGAAGAGCACAGGUUCCCUCUGCUCCCUGCAUCUGCAUGGCAGAGGGCAUGGAUUGGCCCUGAGUAAGGCAUCCUGAGAGACAACCAUCUGGCUGUCAUUAGUUUGAUUUGAUGGAAUUGGACAAAUGUAACAAUUAGCAUGGUAAAAACUCCUAAUUAAAUAAUUUUUAAAAAAGAUAAUGAUGAUUGAGGAUGGAUGGGUUUUUAAUUUUGUGCAUGAAUGAAAGAACACAUUAAUUAAAACCUUGAGUUUAUUUAUGUGCUAUUCUCAUUUUGUAGCAAGCUGCUCCAAGAUCCCUGAACCUGGCUGACAGCUCACGUCUCCGUCCUGCAGCCCCAAGUUCUGCUAUGCUACAUCCCUCUCCUCUCCUCUCCUCUCCUCUCCUCUCCUCUCCUCUCCUCUCCUCUCCUCUCC
Molecule: long non-coding RNA, 1873 nt
Organism: Gallus gallus (chicken)
Lineage: Eukaryota; Metazoa; Chordata; Aves; Galliformes; Phasianidae
Source: Ensembl